RNAcentral lists this ribosomal RNA (253 nucleotides) under uncultured bacterium. RNAcentral describes it as "partial 16S ribosomal RNA". It matches the Rfam family "Bacterial small subunit ribosomal RNA", at positions 524 to 776 of the family's 1533-position model. The record is from RNAcentral.
UACGUAGGUGGCAAGCGUUAUCCGGAUUUAUUGGGCGUAAAGGGAACGCAGGCGGUCUUUUAAGUCUGAUGUGAAAGCCUUCGGCUUAACCGGAGUAGUGCAUUGGAAACUGGGAGACUUGAGUGCAGAAGAGGAGAGUGGAACUCCAUGUGUAGCGGUGAAAUGCGUAGAUAUAUGGAAGAACACCAGUGGCGAAAGCGGCUCUCUGAUCUGUAACUGACGCUGAGGUUCGAAAGCGUGGGUAGCAAACAGG